This 1346-nucleotide ribosomal RNA is filed under the name uncultured bacterium. RNAcentral describes it as "bacterial SSU rRNA". It matches the Rfam family "Bacterial small subunit ribosomal RNA", at positions 28 to 1380 of the family's 1533-position model. The record is from RNAcentral.
GACGAACGCUGGCGGCGUGCUUAACACAUGCAAGUCGAACGGAAAGGCCCUGCUUUUGUGGGGUGCUCGAGUGGCGAACGGGUGAGUAACACGUGAGUAACCUGCCCUUGACUUUGGGAUAACUUCAGGAAACUGGGGCUAAUACCGGAUAGGAGCUCCUGCUGCAUGGUGGGGGUUGGAAAGUUUCGGCGGUUGGGGAUGGACUCGCGGCUUAUCAGCUUGUUGGUGGGGUAGUGGCUUACCAAGGCUUUGACGGGUAGCCGGCCUGAGAGGGUGACCGGCCACAUUGGGACUGAGAUACGGCCCAGACUCCUACGGGAGGCAGCAGUGGGGAAUAUUGCACAAUGGGCGGAAGCCUGAUGCAACAACGCCGCGUGCGGGAUGACGGCCUUCGGGUUGUAAACCGCUUUCGCCUGUGACGAAGCGUGAGUGACGGUAAUGGGUAAAGAAGCACCGGCUAACUACGUGCCAGCAGCCGCGGUGAUACGUAGGGUGCGAGCGUUGUCCGGAUUUAUUGGGCGUAAAGGGCUCGUAGGUGGUUGAUCGCGUCGGAAGUGUAAUCUUGGGGCUUAACCCUGAGCGUGCUUUCGAUACGGGUUGACUUGAGGAAGGUAGGGGAGAAUGGAAUUCCUGGUGGAGCGGGUGGAAUGCGCAGAUAUCAGGAGGAACACCAGUGGCGAAGGCGGUUCUCUGGGCCUUUCCUGACGCUGAGGAGCGAAAGCGUGGGGAGCGAACAGGCUUAGAUACCCUGGUAGUCCACGCUGUAAACGGUGGGUACUAGGUGUGGGGUCCAUUCCACGGGUUCCGUGCCGUAGCUAACGCUUUAAGUACCCCGCCUGGGGAGUACGGCCGCAAGGCUAAAACUCAAAGGAAUUGACGGGGCCCCGCACAAGCGGCGGAGCAUGCGGAUUAAUUCGAUGCAACGCGUAGAACCUUACCUGGGUUUGACAUGGAUCGGGAGUGCCCAGAGAUGGGUGUGCCUCUUUUGGGGUCGGUUCACAGGUGGUGCAUGCCUGUCGUCAGCUCGUGUCGUGAGAUGUUGGGUUAAGUCCCGCAACGAGCGCAACCCUUGUUCACUGUUGCCAGCACGUUAUGGUGGGGACUCAGUGGAGACCGCCGGGGUCAACUCGGAGGAAGGUGGGGAUGACGCCAAGUCCUCAUGCCCCUUAUGUCCAGGGCUUCACGCAUGCUACAAUGGCUGGUACAGAGAGUGGCGAGCCUGUGAGGGUGAGCGAAUCUCGGAAAGCCGGUCUCAGUUCGGAUUGGGGUCUGCAACCCGACCUCAUGAAGUCGGAGUCGCUAGUAAUCGCAGAUCAGCAACGCUGCGGUGAAUACGUUCCCGGGGC